Molecule: ribosomal RNA, 497 nt
Filed under: uncultured bacterium
Lineage: Bacteria
Description: partial 16S ribosomal RNA
Rfam family: Bacterial small subunit ribosomal RNA
Source: RNAcentral
GACGAACGCUGGCGGCGUGCCUAAUACAUGCAAGUUGAGCGCUGAAGGUUGGUACUUGUACCAACUGGAUGAGCAGCGAACGGGUGAGUAACGCGUGGGGAAUCUGCCUUUGAGCGGGGGACAACAUUUGGAAACGAAUGCUAAUACCGCAUAAAAACUUUAAACACAAGUUUUAAGUUUGAAAGAUGCAAUUGCAUCACUCAAAGAUGAUCCCGCGUUGUAUUAGCUAGUUGGUGAGGUAAAGGCUCACCAAGGCGAUGAUACAUAGCCGACCUGAGAGGAGGAUCGGCCACAUUGGGACGGAGACACGGCCCAAACUCCUACGGGAGGCAGCAGUAGGGAAUCUUCGGCAAUGGACGAAAGUCUGACCGAGCAACGCCGCGUGAGUGAAGAAGGUUUUCGGAUCGUAAAACUCUGUUGGUAGAGAAGAACGUUGGUGAGAGUGGAAAGCUCAUCAAGUGACGGUAACUACCCAGAAAGGGACGGCUAACUACGUG